Molecule: ribosomal RNA, 494 nt
Filed under: uncultured bacterium
Lineage: Bacteria
Description: partial 16S ribosomal RNA
Rfam family: Bacterial small subunit ribosomal RNA
Source: RNAcentral
GACGAACGCUGGCGGCGUGCUUAACACAUGCAAGUCGAACGGUGAAGCGCCUUCCUUUUUGGUGGGUGUGGAUGAGUGGCGAACGGGUGAGUAACACGUGAGUAACCUGCCCCCUUCUUCUGGAUAACCGCAUGAAAGUGUGGCUAAUACGGGAUAUUCUGGGUCUGUCGCAUGAUGGGUCUGGGAAAGAUAUUGUUUCGGUGGGGGAUGGGCUCGCGGCCUAUCAGCUUGUUGGUGGGGUGAUGGCCUACCAAGGCGGUGACGGGUAGCCGGCCUGAGGGGGUGGACGGUCACACUGGGACUGGGACACGGCCCAGACUCCUACGGGAGGCAGCAGUGGGGAAUAUUGCACAAUGGGCGCAAGCCUGAUGCAGCGACGCCGCGUGAGGGAUGGAGGCCUUCGGGUUGUGAACCUCUUUCGCCAGUGAAGCAGGCCUGCCUCGUUUGUGGGUGGGUUGACGGUAGCUGGAUAAGAAGCGCCGGCUAACUACGUG